GCCGGGCGCAGUGGUGCGUGCCUGUAGUACCAGCUACUCAGGAGGCUGAGGUGGGAGGAUCGCUUGAGCUCAGGAGUUCUGGGCUGUAGUGCGCUAUGCCGAUCGGGUGUCCACACUAAGUUCGGCAUCAAUAUAGUGACCUCCUGGGAGCAGGGACCACCAGCUUGCCUAAGGAGGGGUGAAUCGGCCCAGGUUGGAAACAGAGCAGGUCAAAACUCCUGUGCUGAUCAGUAGUGGGAUCGCGCCUGUGGAGACCCACUGCACUGUAGCCUGGGCAACAUAGUGAGACCCCCAUCUCU
This 299-nucleotide signal recognition particle RNA is filed under the name Aotus nancymaae (Ma's night monkey). RNAcentral describes it as "Metazoan signal recognition particle RNA (ENSANAG00000006931.1)". It matches the Rfam family "Metazoan signal recognition particle RNA". Rfam says of the family: The signal recognition particle (SRP) is a universally conserved ribonucleoprotein. It is involved in the co-translational targeting of proteins to membranes. The record is from RNAcentral. Lineage: Eukaryota; Metazoa; Chordata; Mammalia; Primates; Aotidae.